AAAAUGGCAACACCACUUCUCAGUUCUCACGGAAGUUCGUCUGCACAAAUCUGCACAAGUGUGCAAGUCUUCACACAAAUGUGCAGUCUUCAAGAGUGAAAAUUUGCAUAAAUUCUUUAAAUUGUAACUUGUUAAGUGGCUGCAGGUGGGUAAGCGGUAGUAUGUACUUAGACUUAGGCAACACUCCACUUAGGCACAUGGAUGCCUGAUGAUGAAUUGGUGAAUGGUGAGUGUUGUGUUGUGUGUGUCUGUCUGUCUAAGUUUCAAACAUUGAAUGGAUUGAUUGUAACAUUAUAGUGACCAUUUUUAAUUAAAUGAGUGGGUAAACGUGGCUUUUUUUUCUCGAUUGCCUCACCUUUGCUAACCACGAGCGUCCCCUUAACCCCUAAUAACGUGGUUGAAACAAAGUGCUGAGUCAAAUCAAGGAAGUGUUUGAAACAGCUCAUGUUCCUUGCCCAGAUUACGUUGGUGCAAAAAGAGAGCAACAGAUUGUUACACCUGCAUUGGAUUUUCCAUCUCAAGAUAAUUUUAUUCAGUUUUUUUAUUAGGUCUAAAUAACUCCACCAUUUAUCUCCAAUGUAACAGCAGCAAGUCGAAGGUUUUUCGAGUAAAGUGUGACUAGUUAAAGUUUUACUUCUGCUUGUAAAGAAUCCAGCAAUGUAGGACGAGAACUCAGACAUUCAGUGACAGCAGCACCUACCUUACAUGAAUUUCCGAUGCAAUUUAUGCCUAAAAUAAGAAGAAUUCAAAAUCUCCACAGUCUACAUGGGGGUUGGCAUGAAAGAUAACAAAGAAAGACUUAAGCAGCCCGUGAUUGUGUGUACUCUGGAUUCUCUGGGUCACGACCGUCAUUGGCGCGAAUGCUGGUUCAUUGCAAAACUCAUCUUUGUCGAAAUCUGACAUCCGGGAAGAAAUUAGAAUUGGUGAUGUAACACUUGCCAUGGACGGUAAUGACAGUACACUACUCGAGCCCACUUUAUCCCUCAUAGAAUGAACUGUUUCUGGAGUGUUAACCAAGAUGGAAUUUGAAAAUCUCCUUAGCACGAGCAACUAUCUACGAGGCAACAGACCAACUAUAUGAGGCAGAUGACUCCCACGAUAGAGUUAAAAACAGAGCAAAAGUUGAAGGAGGUUCUGAAAAAAAAAAAAUGCGGCGUCAUUUUCAUCAUUCACGUCGAUCCGCGUCGGAUGUCGAUUGAUUCUUUCAAGUUAUGGCUGCUCGAAAUGCUCGGUCCAGUUUUACAAACAAGUAGGCCCUAGCUUACGUCUAAACUUGGGCCAGUUCUGCAUGUAUGAACGGCCUUACGACUGCAGGACAACCAACUCCUGAUUGAAUUAUUUAAAGAGUUCUUGUUGGCACAACAAUUGAAGAACUAUUUCGUCAUGCUAACUUAUCGACCAUACUGACCGAUUGAUGUCGCUCAACUCAUGCUAUUGCCUUGUCCUGUCCAAAUGCCAAUUGGUUUCCGCACUUGCAAGUAAUCCUUCGGUCGCUGACUGGCAUCUUUUGACAUACAUCUUAAUGGGCCGUAAAGCUGGCUUCUUGGUCUUGUCGCCAAAAGCGAAGAUGAAAAGUUCCAGAAAAUUAAAGAAUUUUGCUUAAUAUGAGAAUCAUCUGGAUUUCUUUCCAAGCAAAAGUAAAAGGGUAUCACGGUCGACUAAGUUCUUUGUUUGCUAACCCGUUGGCUGCUACCUUGACCCUAGCUGGCUGACCUUGCCCUCUUUAACUUCGGGAUUUGAGUUAAUCCUGCGAUAUUCCAUGGAUUCAAUCAAUUGAACCUGACGAGAGAUGAAAGCUCAGCGACGACUAACUGACGUGCUGUUAUUCAGCAAUAUUGCUCACUUGCGUGAUGUCCUUUCGUCGCUCCGAAUCAUGGGGGAGUUGAGCUUGCUUCAGCUACGCGGCCAGCUGCCAGCAUCAUUGGAUUACCCAGCCGACUUGUAAGUUACCCCAGCUCUAAACACAGCACAGAGUUUUACUCUUUAGAUAUUAUGUGUGGCUGUUUGCGAUGUGUGAUGGCGUUUUCUUGAGUGCGACGACUAAUCGCUCCCUAGCAAAACUGGCUUCGCACUCCUCUCUUCUUCCUUGUCCAGGUAAUCUCCCUGAGCACAGUCAAUCAAGGCAGAGUCUCCCCCUGUCUUGAUUGACUGAACUUUGCAAGGAAAAUUGAACAUUUCACUUUAAUAGAUAAAUUUAAUGAAGGUAAAUGAUAAAAAUGCAUGAGCGAUGAUAAACAUAUGUACAUAACAGUGUCAAUAAGAUUGUAAAUAGUUAUAUUUUCUUUAUGAAAUAUUUAAAAUACAAUGUAAUCUAUAUCUA
Daphnia pulex (common water flea) is the source of this 2320-nucleotide long non-coding RNA. RefSeq lists it as uncharacterized. Lineage: Eukaryota; Metazoa; Arthropoda; Branchiopoda; Diplostraca; Daphniidae. The transcript is spliced from 6 exons. The record is from RefSeq and is a predicted model, not a curated record.